AUUGAACGCUAGCGGCAUGCCUUACACAUGCAAGUCGAACGCGUGGCGGACGGGUGAGGAAUAUAUCGGAACGUGCCUAGUAGCGGGGGAUAACUACUCGAAAGCGUGGCUAAUACCGCAUAAUCUUGGAGCGGCCGAUAGGGUAUUAUCUAGUUGGGGGGGUAAAGGCGCACAAAGGCGACGAGCCGUAGCUGGUUUGAGAGGAUGAUCAGCCACACUGGGACUGAGACACGGCCCAGACUCCGACGGGAGGCAGCAGUAGGGAAUUUUGUACAAUGGGGGAAACCCUGAUCCAGCCAUCCCGCGUGUAUGAGAAGGCCUUCGGGUUGUAAAGUACUUUUGGCAGAGAAGCGGGAUCUGAAGAAUAAGCACCGGCUAACUACGUGCCAGCAGCCGCGGUAAUAC
This 405-nucleotide ribosomal RNA is filed under the name uncultured bacterium. RNAcentral describes it as "partial 16S ribosomal RNA". It matches the Rfam family "Bacterial small subunit ribosomal RNA", at positions 30 to 526 of the family's 1533-position model. The record is from RNAcentral.